This is a long non-coding RNA of Medicago truncatula (barrel medic), 576 nucleotides long. RefSeq lists it as uncharacterized. The transcript is spliced from 3 exons. The record is from RefSeq and is a predicted model, not a curated record. Lineage: Eukaryota; Viridiplantae; Streptophyta; Magnoliopsida; Fabales; Fabaceae.
UGUAAACAUUCGAUGAAGUUUUUUACUAUAUAAACUUAUCAGACAAUUGAACAUUUGUUAUAUGCAAAGUUAAAAAAAAAUGGCUGAAAUUCUCAAGUUUGUUUAUAAUGCGACCCUUUUCUUUUCUUUGUAUCUUGUUGUAUAUAAUAGUAAACUAUGGUGUGACACUGAUGCCGAUUGCCAGGAAAAAUUUCCUGGCCCUUCAAAAUACCCUAUCAAGUGCAUGAAGGGUAUUUGUAAGUGCGUGAUCAACUAAGGUUAUCCUCGUAACAAGAUUGAGGAGUGAUAUCGAUGUGUUUGUGUAUGAGGAUAAAGUGGAUAUCUAUUAUCUCACCUAUAUUAUAUUUUUAUUUAAAGUUUGUUUGAUUAUUGUUUAUGUUUCAACUGGGUUCUAGUUACUGAUAUUAUAUUGUGACAUCAGUGCUAAGUUUACUAAUUUGAUCUUUACUUAUUAUCUUAGAAACUGAGAAAACAUUACAUAUUUUAUUUUAUUUUGAGGAUAAUUGUAAUGCUCUAGGAGGCAAAAUGUUUUAUUUUGAGUUAUGACAUUAUAUUUCUUCUUGUCAUGAUGUGAUA